CGUUUGCACCAGAAGUCGCCAAGCUAACCGCAAGGAGGCAGGCGCCCAAGGUGUGUGCGAUGAUUGGGGUGAAGUCGUAACAAGGUAGCCGUAGGUGAACCUGCAGAAGGAUCA
RNAcentral lists this ribosomal RNA (114 nucleotides) under uncultured eukaryote. RNAcentral's name for it is "partial small subunit ribosomal RNA". It matches the Rfam family "Bacterial small subunit ribosomal RNA", at positions 1412 to 1525 of the family's 1533-position model. The record is from RNAcentral.